UCAAACUUGGUCAUUUAGAGGAAGUAAAAGUCGUAACAAGGUUUCCGUAGGUGAACCUGCGGAAGGAUCAUUAACGAGUUUUUGAAAGGGGUUGUAGCUGGCCAAAAACAAAGGCAUGUGCACACCCUGCUCAAUUCCACUCUCACACCCCUGUGCACUUACUGUAGGCUAUGGUCGGAUAGCUGACUUCGGUUGGUUUGAAAGCCUUGCUUAUGUUAUUACAAACGCUUCAGUUAAAGAAUGUCAUACCGCGUAUAACGCAUUAAAUACAACUUUCAACAACGGAUCUCUUGGCUCUCGCAUCGAUGAAGAACGCAGC
This 319-nucleotide unclassified non-coding RNA is filed under the name uncultured fungus. Its description in RNAcentral is "partial contains small subunit ribosomal RNA, internal transcribed spacer 1, and 5.8S ribosomal RNA". The stretch from base 1 to 73 matches the Rfam family "Eukaryotic small subunit ribosomal RNA", at positions 1759 to 1831 of the family's 1831-position model. Lineage: Eukaryota; Fungi. The record is from RNAcentral.